Molecule: non-coding RNA, 30 nt
Filed under: Rattus norvegicus (Norway rat)
Lineage: Eukaryota; Metazoa; Chordata; Mammalia; Rodentia; Muridae
Source: RNAcentral
UGUUUGUGGUUUUGGCAUUUCACAAUGUGU